AUGAACGCUGGCGGCGUGCCUAAUACAUGCAAGUCGAGCGAACGGACGAGAAGCUUGCUUCUCUGAUGUUAGCGGCGGACGGGUGAGUAACACGUGGAUAACCUACCUAUAAGACUGGGAUAACUUCGGGAAACCGGAGCUAAUACCGGAUAAUAUUUUGAACCGCAUGAUUCAAAAGUGAAAGACGGUCUUGCUGUCACUUAUAGAUGGAUCCGCGCUGCAUUAGCUAGUUGGUAAGGUAACGGCUUACCAAGGCAACGAUGCAUAGCCGACCUGAGAGGGUGAUCGGCCACACUGGAACUGAGACACGGUCCAGACUCCUACGGGAGGCAGCAGUAGGGAAUCUUCCGCAAUGGGCGAAAGCCUGACGGAGCAACGCCGCGUGAGCGAUGAAGGUCUUCGGAUCGUAAAACUCUGUUAUUAGGGAAGAACAUAUGUGUAAGUAACUGUGCACAUCUUGACGGUACCUAAUCAGAAAGCCACGGCUAACUACGUGCCAGCAGCCGCGGUAAUACGUAGGUGGCAAGCGUUAUCCGGAAUUAUUGGGCGUAAAGCGCGCGUAGGCGGUUUUUUAAGUCUGAUGUGAAAGCCCACGGCUCAACCGUGGAGGGUCAUUGGAAACUGGAAAACUUGAGUGCAGAAGAGGAAAGUGGAAUUCCAUGUGUAGCGGUGAAAUGCGCAGAGAUAUGGAGGAACACCAGUGGCGAAGGCGACUUUCUGGUCUGUAACUGACGCUGAUGUGCGAAAGCGUGGGGAUCAAACAGGAUUAGAUACCCUGGUAGUCCACGCCGUAAACGAUGAGUGCUAAGUGUUAGGGGGUUUCCGCCCCUUAGUGCUGCAGCUAACGCAUUAAGCAC
This 857-nucleotide ribosomal RNA is filed under the name uncultured Staphylococcus sp. RNAcentral describes it as "bacterial SSU rRNA". It matches the Rfam family "Bacterial small subunit ribosomal RNA", at positions 29 to 867 of the family's 1533-position model. Lineage: Bacteria; Bacillati; Bacillota; Bacilli; Caryophanales; Staphylococcaceae. The record is from RNAcentral.